RNAcentral lists this ribosomal RNA (468 nucleotides) under uncultured bacterium. RNAcentral's name for it is "partial 16S ribosomal RNA". It matches the Rfam family "Bacterial small subunit ribosomal RNA", at positions 28 to 507 of the family's 1533-position model. The record is from RNAcentral.
GACGAACGCUGGCGGCGUGCUUAACACAUGCAAGUCGAACGGAAAGGCCCUGCUUUUGUGGGGUGCUCGAGUGGCGAACGGGUGAGUAACACGUGAGUAACCUGCCCUUGACUUUGGGAGAACUUCAGGAAACUGGGGUUAAUAUCGUAUAGGAGCUCCUGUUGCAUGGUGGGGGUUGGAAAGUUUCGGCGGUUGUGGUUGGAUUCGCGGCUUAUCAGCUUGUUGGUUGGGUAGUGGCUUACCAAGGCUGUGACGGGUAGCCGGCAUGAGAGGGUGACCGGCCACAUUGGGCCUACGGUACGGACCAGAGGCCUACGGGAGGCAGCAGUGGGGAGUAUUGCACAAUGGGCGGAAGCCUGAUGCAGCAACGCCGGGUGCGGGAUGACGGCUUUCGGGUUAUAAACCGCUUUAGCCUGUGACGAAGCGUGAGUGACGGUAAUCGGUAAAGAAGCACCGGCUAACUACGUG